RNAcentral lists this ribosomal RNA (362 nucleotides) under Stachys arabica. Its description in RNAcentral is "eukaryotic LSU rRNA". The stretch from base 1 to 127 matches the Rfam family "5.8S ribosomal RNA", at positions 30 to 154 of the family's 154-position model. Lineage: Eukaryota; Viridiplantae; Streptophyta; Magnoliopsida; Lamiales; Lamiaceae. The record is from RNAcentral.
GCAUCGAUGAAGAACGCAGCGAAAUGCGAUACUUGGUGUGAAUUGCAGAAUCCCGUGAACCAUCGAGUCUUUGAACGCAAGUUGCGCCCGAAGCCAUUAGGCCGAGGGCACGCCUGCCUGGGCGUCACGCAUCGCGUCGCCCCCUCCCCCCUCGCCACGGGGGGCGGCGGGGCGGAGAUUGGCCCCCCGUGCGCAGCGAUGCGCGCGGCCGGCCCAAACCCGAAUCCGCCGUCGACGCACGUCGCGACCAGUGGUGGUUGAACACUCAACUCGCGUGCUGUCGCGUCCCGAUGCGCCGUCGGCCCGGAGACGACCCCGAAGGAGCGAUCGCGAAUCGCGCCCACGACCGCGACCCCAGGUCA